Molecule: long non-coding RNA, 713 nt
Organism: Drosophila sulfurigaster albostrigata
Lineage: Eukaryota; Metazoa; Arthropoda; Insecta; Diptera; Drosophilidae
Exons: 4
Source: RefSeq, a predicted model, not a curated record
UACUCAGGUGGAGUUCCAUCCCUGGCCCGCAGUCCGCACAAUCGAUAACUCCACCGAUACGAAAUAGCUGCUUUAAAACAGAAGAAACGCAUCACUAACAAAACAAAACAUCUGCCGCUCAAUUGAAUAUUGCGCUAAACAAAAGGAAAUGUAGAAACAAACUAUUGACGACGGGCCCAGUUGGACCCCGGCGUACCCACCCUGCCUGAGAAGGUCACAUCGGCGCCAUUUCCUUGCAAUGGCCACUACAUCAGUGGUUGCUCCUCAUCCGGCGUAGCGCUGUGGAAUUCCCUCCCCACCAUGAUGAGAAAACUCACACAAUCAUGUUCAUCAUAACAAACAAAAUACCAAAUAAACGAAGUAGGAACGGAGCGAAACAACAACGGCCACAACGGCGUAAAGGACAACUUUUCCUUGAUGCGUCACACUCAUUGUCAACCUGAACCUAAGAGCUCUUGGUGGUCGAGGAAGGGGCGAUACGGGUGAGGUGAUUGCAAAUAUAUACAUAUGUAUAAAUUAGUAAAUAUAAAUAUAUGAAUCCCGCCGCAAGUAAAUUUCUAGCGCACUUGAAUAAUGGAGCUGAGAACCUAUCAGCAUUCAUCAAAAGGAUAGAUUUCUUUCGAUCAUUGUACCCAACGAGAUGCGUUAGACAAAAUAUCGUAAUUUUCGGAGCCAUUGAGAGACAGCUGGAGGGAGAGGCUCUGAGGACAGCC